Cercocebus atys (sooty mangabey) is the source of this 199-nucleotide long non-coding RNA. RefSeq lists it as uncharacterized. The transcript is spliced from 3 exons. NCBI's taxonomy places the organism in Eukaryota, Metazoa, Chordata, Mammalia, Primates, Cercopithecidae. The record is from RefSeq and is a predicted model, not a curated record.
GCUGAGCCUGAGCUGGGUGGGUAAGCGUGAACUGCUGAGCCUGAGCUGGGCGGAUGCUUGUAUAAGGGUUUCAGCCAAUGUUGGAACAAAAUCCAAAAUCAGGCCAAAAUACCCACCUGUCAUGACUGGAUCAAGCCAGCUCCACCUUUUACAACCAGGCUGGAGUGCAGUGGCACGAACACGACUCACUGCAGCCUUG